UAGGGAAUCUUCGGCAAUGGACGAAAGUCUGACCGAGCAACGCCGCGUGAGUGAAGAAGGUUUUCGGAUCGUAAAACUCUGUUGUUAGAGAAGAACAAGGACGUUAGUAACUGAACGUCCCCUGACGGUAUCUAACCAGAAAGCCACGGCUAACUACGUGCCAGCAGCCGCGGUAAUACGUAGGUGGCAAGCGUUGUCCGGAUUUAUUGGGCGUAAAGCGAGCGCAGGCGGUUUCUUAAGUCUGUUGUGAAAGCCCCCGGCUCAACCGGGGAGGGUCAUUGGAAACUGGGAGACUUGAGUGCAGAAGAGGAGAGUGGAAUUCCAUGUGUAGCGGUGAAAUGCGUAGAUAUAUGGAGGAACACCAGUGGCGAAGGCGGCUCUCUGGUCUGUAACUGACGCUGAGGCUCGAAAGCGUGGGCAGCAAACAGG
Molecule: ribosomal RNA, 429 nt
Filed under: Gemmatimonadota bacterium
Lineage: Bacteria; Pseudomonadati; Gemmatimonadota
Description: Gemmatimonadetes bacterium partial 16S ribosomal RNA
Rfam family: Bacterial small subunit ribosomal RNA
Source: RNAcentral